AGGCACUACCUUUGAACCUGCAUGGUCUUUGCCAUGGCCACACAGGCCAAGCAGUAGUGCAAGAGCAAACCAUGGCUUGUUAUAACUGGGGUCUCUUGGCAAUUCACCAAGUUUCUCUUUUAAAAGCAAAUCACAGAC
Molecule: small nucleolar RNA, 138 nt
Organism: Myripristis murdjan (pinecone soldierfish)
Lineage: Eukaryota; Metazoa; Chordata; Actinopteri; Holocentriformes; Holocentridae
Source: Ensembl